Molecule: transfer RNA, 75 nt
Filed under: Fusarium culmorum
Lineage: Eukaryota; Fungi; Ascomycota; Sordariomycetes; Hypocreales; Nectriaceae
Also listed under: 18 other names
Description: tRNA-Tyr
Source: RNAcentral
AGGGGUAGAAUUUAAAGGUAAAACUUGAUGACUAUAAUAUCAUAAAAGUUGUAGUUCAAUUCUACAAUACCUCUA